RNAcentral lists this ribosomal RNA (497 nucleotides) under uncultured bacterium. RNAcentral describes it as "partial 16S ribosomal RNA". It matches the Rfam family "Bacterial small subunit ribosomal RNA", at positions 28 to 507 of the family's 1533-position model. The record is from RNAcentral.
GAUGAACGCUGGCGGCGUGCCUAAUACAUGCAAGUCGAGCGAACAGACGAGGAGCUUGCUCCUUCGACGUUAGCGGCGGACGGGUGAGUAACACGUAGGUAACCUACCUAUAAGACUGGGAUAACUUCGGGAAACCGGAGCUAACACCGGAUAAUAUUUCGAACCGCAUGGUUCGAUAGUGAAAGAUGGCUUUGCUAUCACUUAUAGAUGGACCUGCGCCGUAUUAGCUAGUUGGUAAGGUAACGGCUUACCAAGGCAACGAUACGUAGCCGACCUGAGAGGGGGAUCGGCCACACUGGAACUGAGACACGGUCCAGACGCCUACGGGAGGCAGCAGUAGGGAAUCUUACGCAAUGGGCGAAAGCCUGACGGAGCAACGCCGCGUGAGUGAUGAAGGUCUUCGGAUCGUAAAACUCUGUUAUUAGGGAAGAACAAACGUGUAAGUAACUGUGCACGUCUUGACGGUACCUAAUCAGAAAGCCACGGCUAACUACGUG